RNAcentral lists this ribosomal RNA (497 nucleotides) under uncultured bacterium. RNAcentral describes it as "partial 16S ribosomal RNA". It matches the Rfam family "Bacterial small subunit ribosomal RNA", at positions 28 to 507 of the family's 1533-position model. The record is from RNAcentral.
GAUGAACGCUGGCGGCGUGCCUAAUACAUGCAAGUCGAGCGAACAGACGAGGAGCUUGCUCCUCUGACGUUAGCGGCGGACGGGUGAGUAACACGUGGAUAACCUACCUAUAAGACUGGGAUAACUUCGGGAAACCGGAGCUAAUACCGGAUAAUAUAUUGAACCGCAUGGUUCAAUAGUGAAAGACGGUUUUGCUGUCACUUAUAGAUGGAUCCGCGCCGCAUUAGCUAGUUGGUAAGGUAACGGCUUACCAAGGCAACGAUGCGUAGCCGACCUGAGAGGGUGAUCAGCCACACUAGCACUGAGACACGGUCCAGACUCAGACGGGAGGCAGCAGUAGGGAAUCUUCCGCAAAGGGCGAAAGCCUGACGGAGCAACGCCGGGUGAGUGAUGAAGGUCUUCGGAUCGUAAAACUCUGUUAUUAGGGAAGAACAAAUGUGUAAGUAACUAUGCACGUCUUGACGGUACCUAAUCAGAAAGCCACGGCUAACUACGUG